GGGGAGUUGGGAUCUGGGUGCAGUUUGGUGCCUGGUCGCCGUCGCCGUCGCUGUCCCGCCACCCGCACGAGCGAACCCUUGACUGCAGCGGGCCCAGGUUGAGCCAGGAAGGGCCUGGCACCCUGGGCGCUGGCCUCGGAGCCCUGGGGCGGCCUCCGUGCAGUCCCUGCGUUCGCCAGAGAAUCCUGGAGCCCGCAGGAAAAACGGCGCCGCGCCCUGGCCCACCCCUACUGAGGCCGCGAAGGCCCGGCGUUCCUGAGACCCGGGUCCGCGUCUUGGGUCCAGAAAGGGAUUAAGUGCACCGACAAACCGGACGGCAGACCUCGCUGGGGCCUGAGAAAUGUCCUGUAGACUCCUGGAGCAGAACGAGGGCGACGCUUCUCAGGCCGCCUUUUCUCCAGCCGCCCUCCGCAGCACGGGAGAGCGCUGGAUUCGCUCGCAGCUGGCGCUCUAGGGUCCCCUUGGCCGGAGCCGGGAGAGCCAUCGGUGGGGAAAGAACCAGGUUUGGCCGAUUUCUCCAGCCGCUGCAGCGACCGCGCACUUCGUGUCGCACCACACCUGAGAGUUUGAGAACUGAUCAGACCCAAGCAGAUGCUACCAGGCGGCACUUUAUUUUCCUGGUCAGCCUACCCCCACGACACCCCAGAGGAAUAGGUUUUGGGGAAUAGUGGUGCAAGGUGUCUCAAGGUGUCUCUUCCCUUGGAACCAGCUAGCAGUCAGCUUCCGGAUUCUUUGAACGGGGGGCAGGCUUCAAAAUCAGAGCAGUUUCUCUCCCUGUUCACAUUUCUGGUGAAAUGCAAACUGUCAUUGGGUGCUUUCUAGAGUCCCCUGGUUUUGGGGGUCCUGAUGACUGACCUCUGUGAUAGGGUGCUUCUGAAUCUUUCCCUAACCAUCCCUCUUGAGUUUUUCUGCCAGCUCACAAGAGGCCUGGGCACAAAUAAGCCUGAUAUUCCCACAAGCCAGUUCUCAGUGUUUCUCAGUCCUAGGCUGUUCCAGCCAUGGCAUCCUAAGGCAUUACCAUGCAGGUGCCCUUUUGCAGGCAGGAGUUCUUUGGAGCCCUGGGAGCCCGUGUUUGGCUCCAGCAGGCAGUAACACCCUGUGACAAGAAAGGAAGCUGGGAUUUUGUGUGGAGGGGGCAACAGUUGUGCAACUAAAAACUCCAGGUC
RNAcentral lists this long non-coding RNA (1166 nucleotides) under Marmota monax (woodchuck). Lineage: Eukaryota; Metazoa; Chordata; Mammalia; Rodentia; Sciuridae. The record is from RNAcentral.